UACCAGCACCCCGAGUGGUCGGGACGUUUAUUGGGCCUAAAGCAUCCGUAGCCGGUUCUACAAGUCUUCCGUUAAAUCCACCUGCUUAACAGAUGGGCUACGGAAGAUACUAUGGAGCUAGGAGGCGGGAGAGGCAAGCGGUACUCGAUGGGUAGGGGUAAAAUCCGUUGAUCCAUUGAAGACCACCAGUGGCGAAGGCGGCUUGCCAGAACGCGCUCGACGGUGAGGGAUGAAAGCUGGGGGAGCAAACCGG
This 253-nucleotide ribosomal RNA is filed under the name uncultured bacterium. RNAcentral describes it as "partial 16S ribosomal RNA". It matches the Rfam family "Archaeal small subunit ribosomal RNA", at positions 474 to 727 of the family's 1478-position model. The record is from RNAcentral.